AAACCUCUCACCUACUAUUGUGUUUUAUGCCAAUAGCUUGGUGGAUUUUGAAUGCUUUCGGAUUUAUUCGAAUCAUUUAAAUUUUAUUGUGUGCAGCCAUUAUUUCACUCAUUUUCAAAAUGUUUGGUGAAUGGUUCCCAAGUGCAAUAAAGAUUAACAAUCUCUUAUACUCUUGAGUACCGCAAAAUUCCCGAACACUUAAUUUUGGAUUGAGAUUAAUGAAUUGAUGUUUGUGUCCCAAAUUAUUAUACGAUUUGUUUAUUCUGCGCGAGCAAAAUAAAUAAUUCGAAA
This 291-nucleotide unclassified non-coding RNA is filed under the name uncultured Chytridiomycota. RNAcentral's name for it is "sequence contains ITS2". Lineage: Eukaryota; Fungi; Chytridiomycota. The record is from RNAcentral.